AAGGUUUCGAAUGGAGAAAGCGA
This 23-nucleotide non-coding RNA is filed under the name Arabidopsis thaliana (thale cress). The record is from RNAcentral. Lineage: Eukaryota; Viridiplantae; Streptophyta; Magnoliopsida; Brassicales; Brassicaceae.